UACGGGAGGCAGCAGUGGGGAAUAUUGCACAAUGGGCGAAAGCCUGAUGCAGCUAUGCCGCGUGUAUGAAGAAGGCCUUAGGGUUGUAAAGUACUUUCAUCGGGGAGGAAAAACAAAACUAAUAAUUUUAUUUCUUGACGUUACCCGAAAAAGAAGCACCGGCUAACUCCGUGCCAGCAGCCGCGGUAAUACGGAGGGUGCUAGCGUUAAUCAGAAUUAUUGGGCGUAAAGAGCACGUAGGUGGUUUUUUUAAGUCAGAUGUGAAAUCCCUGGGCUUAACCUGGAACUGCAUUUUGAAACUGAAAUACUAGAGUAUCGUAGAGGGAGGUAGAAUUCUAGGUGUAGCGGUGAAAUGCGUAGAUAUCUGGAGGAAUACCUGUGGCGAAAGCGGCCUCCUAAACGAAUACUGACACUGAGGUGCGAAAGCGUGGGGAGCAAACAGGGAUUAGAUACCCGU
RNAcentral lists this ribosomal RNA (457 nucleotides) under uncultured bacterium. Its description in RNAcentral is "bacterial SSU rRNA". It matches the Rfam family "Bacterial small subunit ribosomal RNA", at positions 340 to 789 of the family's 1533-position model. The record is from RNAcentral.